Molecule: ribosomal RNA, 211 nt
Filed under: uncultured bacterium
Lineage: Bacteria
Description: partial 16S ribosomal RNA
Rfam family: Bacterial small subunit ribosomal RNA
Source: RNAcentral
UACGGGGGGGAGCAAGCGUUGUUCGGAUUUACUGGGCGUAAAGGGCGCGUAGGCGGCCACCGCAAGUCGGUGUGAAAUCUCCGGGCUUAACCCGGAAAGGUCAAUGAUACUGCGGGGCUAGAGUGCAGAAGGGGCAACUGGAAUUCUCGGUGUAGCGGUGAAAUGCGUAGAUAUCGAGAGGAACACCUGCGGCGAAGGCGGGGUUGCUGGG